RNAcentral lists this ribosomal RNA (1438 nucleotides) under uncultured bacterium. RNAcentral's name for it is "bacterial SSU rRNA". It matches the Rfam family "Bacterial small subunit ribosomal RNA". The record is from RNAcentral.
AGAGUUUGAUCAUGGCUCANGACGAACGCUGGCGGCGCUGCCUAAUGCAUGCAAGUCGCACGCACCCCUCGGGGUGAGUGGCGCACGGCUGAGGAACACGUAGGAAUGUGCCCAUCGGUGGGGGAUAACAGGCCGAAAGGUCUGCUAAGCCCGCAUACGCUCGAAAGAGGAAAGGCGGCAACGUCGCCGAUGGAGCAGCCUGCGGCCCAUCAGGUCGUUGGUGGGGUAAUGGCCUACCAAGCCAAUGACGGGUAGCUGGUCUGAGAGGACAGACAGCCAGACUGGGACUGAGACACGGCCCAGACUCCUACGGGAGGCAGCAGCAAGGAAUUUUCGUCAAUGGGCGCAAGCCUGAACGAGCAACGCCGCGUGCAGGAUGACGGCUUUCGGGUUGUAAACUGCUUUUGGGGGGGACGAUAAUGACGGUACCCUCCGAAUAAGCCCCGGCUUACUCUGUGCCAGCAGCCGCGGUAAUACAGAGGGGGCCAGCGUUGUCCGGACUUACUGGGUGUAAAGCGCAUGCAGGUGGCCUGGCAAGUGUGCUGUGAAAGCCCCGUGCUUAACACGGGGAGGCCAGUACAGACUGUCAAGCUCGAGGACUGCAGAGGGUAGGGGAAUUGCCGGUGUAGUGCUGAAAUGCGUAGAGAUCGGCAGGAACACCAAGGCCGAAGGGACCUACCUGGGCAGUAACUGACACUCAAGUGCGACAGCGUGGGGAGCGAACCGGAUUAGAUACCCGGGUAGUCCACGCCGUAAACGAUGGAUGCUCGGCGUUUGGGGGAGAAAUCUCCUGGGCGCCUCAGCUGACGCGGAAGCAUCCCACCUGGGAACUACGAGCGCAAGCUUAAAACUCAAAGGAAUUGACGGGGGCCCGCACAAGCAGCGGAGCGUGUGGUUUAAUUCGAAGCAACACGCAGGACCUUACCCAGACUGGACAUGCCACUGCAAGCCGCUGAAAGGUGGUCGCCUUCGAGGGUGUGGCACAGAUGCUGCAUGGCUGUCGUCAGCUCGUGUCGUGAGAUUUUGGGUUCAGUCCCGCAACGAGCGCAACCCCCACGGUCAGUUACACGUGUCUGGCCGGACUGCCCUUCGGGGAGGAAGGCGGGGAUGACGUCAAGUCCGCAUGGCUCUUACGUCUGGGGCUACACACACACUACAAUGGCCGUCGCAGUGCGUUGCGACCCGGCAACGGGUAGCCAAUCGCCAAGGACGGUCUCAGUGCAGAUUGGGGGCUGCAACUCGCCCCCAUGAAGGCGGAGUUGCUAGUAACCGCGUAUCAGCGAUGGCGCGGUGAAUACGUACCCGGNCCUUGUACACACCGCCCGUCACGUCAUGGGAGUGGCCAAUGCCUGAAGUCCGUGGGCCAACCUUUCGGGGAGGCACGCGGCCGAGGGCAGGGGUCGCGAACUGGGACGAAGUCGUAACCAAGGUAACCGUA